Molecule: ribosomal RNA, 252 nt
Filed under: uncultured bacterium
Lineage: Bacteria
Description: partial 16S ribosomal RNA
Rfam family: Bacterial small subunit ribosomal RNA
Source: RNAcentral
UACGGGGGGGGUAAGCGUUGUUCGGAAUUACUGGGCGUAAAGGGCUCGUAGGCGGCCAACUAAGUCAGACGUGAAAUCCCUCAGCUUAACUGGGGAACUGCGCCUGAUACUGCUUGGCUUGAGGUCCGGAGGGAGAGUGGAAUUCCCGGUGUAGCGGUGGAAUGCGUAGAGAUCGGGAAGAACAUCAGUGGCGAAGGCGGCCUGCUGGGCUGUUGCUGACGCUGAGGCGCGACAGCGUGGGGAGCAAACAGG